This 484-nucleotide ribosomal RNA is filed under the name uncultured bacterium. RNAcentral describes it as "partial 16S ribosomal RNA". It matches the Rfam family "Bacterial small subunit ribosomal RNA", at positions 30 to 507 of the family's 1533-position model. The record is from RNAcentral.
AUUGAACGCUGGCGGCAGGCCUAACACAUGCAAGUCGAGCGGAUGAAGGGAGCUUGCUCCUGGAUUCAGCGGCGGACGGGUGAGUAAUGCCUAGGAAUCUGCCUGGUAGUGGGGGAUAACGUCCGGAAACGGGCGCUAAUACCGCAUACGUCCUGAGGGAGAAAGUGGGGGAUCUUCGGACCUCACGCUAUCAGAUGAGCCUAGGUCGGAUUAGCUAGCUGGUGGGGUAAAGGCCUACCAAGGCGACGAUCCGUAACUGGCCUGAGAGGAUGAUCAGUCACACUGGAACUUAGACAGGGUCCAGACUCCUGCGGGAGGCAGCAGUGGGGAAUGUGGGACAAAGGGCGAAAGCCUGAUCCAGCCAUGCCGCGUGUGUGAAGAAGGUCUUCGGAUUGUAAAGCACGUUAAGUGGGGAGGAAGGGCAGUAAGUUAAUACCUUGCUGUUUUGACGUUACCAACAGAAUAAGCACCGGCUAACUUCGUG